RNAcentral lists this ribosomal RNA (497 nucleotides) under uncultured bacterium. RNAcentral describes it as "partial 16S ribosomal RNA". It matches the Rfam family "Bacterial small subunit ribosomal RNA", at positions 28 to 507 of the family's 1533-position model. The record is from RNAcentral.
GAUGAACGCUGGCGGCGUGCCUAAUACAUGCAAAUCGAGCGAACAGACGAGGAGCUUGCUCCUCUGACGUUAGCGGCGGACGGGUGAGUAACACGUGGAUAACCUACCUAUAAGACUGGGAUAACUUUGGGAAACCGGAGCUAAUACCGGAUAAUAUAUUGAACCGCAUGGUUCAAUAGUGAAAGACGGUUUUGCUGUCACUUAUAGAUGGAUCCGCGCCGCAUUAGCUAGUUGGUAAGGUAACGGCUUACCAAGGCGACGAUGCGUAGCCGACCUGAGAGGGUGAUCGGCCACACUGGAACUGAGACACGGUCCAGACUCCUACGGGAGGCAGCAGUAGGGAAUCUUCCGCAAUGGGCGAAAGCCUGACGGAGCAACGCCGCGUGAGUGAUGAAGGUCUUCGGAUCGUAAAACUCUGUUAUUAGGGAAGAACAAAUGUGUAAGUAACUAUGCACGUCUUGACGGUACCUAAUCAGAAAGCCGCGGCUAACUACGUG